This 253-nucleotide ribosomal RNA is filed under the name uncultured bacterium. RNAcentral describes it as "partial 16S ribosomal RNA". It matches the Rfam family "Bacterial small subunit ribosomal RNA", at positions 524 to 776 of the family's 1533-position model. The record is from RNAcentral.
UACGGAGGGGGCUAGCGUUGUUCGGAAUCACUGGGCGUAAAGGGCGUGUAGGCGGUCCGCUAAGUCUGAUGUGAAAGCCCGAGGCUUACCCUCGGAAGUGCAUUGGAGACUGGCGGACUGGAGUCCCGGAGAGGAGGGUGGAAUUCCUGGUGUAGCGGUGAAAUGCGUAGAUAUCAGGAGGAACACCGGUGGCGAAGGCGGCCCUCUGGACGGUGACUGACGCUGAGACGCGAAAGCGUGGGGAGCAAACAGG